AAAUUGAAGAGUUUGAUCAUGGCUCAGAUUGAACGCUGGCGGCAGGCCUAACACAUGCAAGUCGAGCGGAAACGAGU
This 77-nucleotide ribosomal RNA is filed under the name Vibrio alginolyticus. Its description in RNAcentral is "partial 16S ribosomal RNA". It matches the Rfam family "Bacterial small subunit ribosomal RNA", at positions 1 to 77 of the family's 1533-position model. RNAcentral also lists the same sequence under 6 other names. The record is from RNAcentral. Lineage: Bacteria; Pseudomonadati; Pseudomonadota; Gammaproteobacteria; Vibrionales; Vibrionaceae.